Molecule: long non-coding RNA, 5604 nt
Organism: Esox lucius (northern pike)
Lineage: Eukaryota; Metazoa; Chordata; Actinopteri; Esociformes; Esocidae
Gene: dpp6a
Product: dipeptidyl-peptidase 6a
Exons: 26
Source: RefSeq, a predicted model, not a curated record
UUUCACAUGCUGGUGCUUGGAAACGUGGGAGAGUUAAUGAGCGAAAUGUUUUGAGAUGAGUCUUUGAAUAGUUUGCUAUCAGCGUCUCUCCUAUUCACUGGAUGGGAUCAUUAUAGCGGAUCUUUUUUCAGGUUUGGAUAACUAUGCUACAAUAUACAUGAUACAUUUUUAGUUCUUUCUUUCAUUUUUUUUGCUGCCGAUCGUCCAUUUCGGUUCAAGUUUGGAGGGUGCAGAAAUCAAGUAUUGCUGCUGCAUCGACUGGAAUGGAAAGGACCCAUAUUCCCCGAACGGUUUGAAGGAUGAAACUACGUGCUGUGAUUUCAGAGUAAGACCUGAACUCAUUUUGGGUCGUUUUUUUUUUUGGACCUUCGUGUUUUCUUUGGCUAUGCUAUAACCUGAAAUGGGACAAAACUAUAUAGUCGAAUAGCUAUAGGCCUGCAUUUUGUUUGCUCUACCAGGGCACGGACACCGAGUGUAAAAACGACUACCGGGACUAUCCAAAAUUAUACCAACCCGAUUAAUUUAAAACUCAUAUUUUUCAUAAAGAAAUGCUGUAAUUUUUUCACCAUAAAGAAUCAUGGCUACGAUGUAUAAGAGGUUCACAGGCAAGAUUAACACGAAUAGGUCUUUUCCAAAUCCACCUGAGGCAACGCAUCUGCUCGGUGGUCAAACAGUUGAAGACGAGAAUUCUGUGAAGACCCCUCGCCCAGGUCAAGAGUUACCGCCCGGUUUCCAAAACAAACUACCGAGGAGCCCAUGCGAUGACGAAGAUGAGCUGGUGGGGAGUAACCCUCCGCAGAGGAACUGGAAGGGAAUUGCGAUCGCCCUGCUUGUCAUUCUGGUCAUCUGCUCCAUGAUCGUCACCUCUGUCAUUCUGCUGACACCAGGCGAGGAUGACAGCUUGGCCCUGAGGGAAAAACUGACUGUGGCUGACAUCUUUAGGAAGGAGUUCAAGGUUCACAACCCUGAGGCAAAGUGGAUCAGCAGUAACGAGCUCCUGUAUCGGACACGUGACGGCGACGUGGUCAGGGUCAACAUGGAGACAUACCACAGGACGGUGUUGGUGCACAACAAAAAGUUUGAAAUGUACAAAGCCAGCCAGUAUGAGGUGUCCCCCGACAUGAAGCAUGUGCUUCUAGCCUACAACGUGGCGCCGGUGUACCAGUACUCGUUCACUGCCUUCUACAUCAUCUGCAGCCUGGAGACUCCAGAAACGUGGAACUUGAACCCUCCGGAGGUGCGGAACGCCCAGCUGCAGUACGCAGGCUGGGGACCCAAGGGCCAACAGCUGAUUUUUAUUUUUGAGAACAAUAUCUACUAUCGCUCAACCGUGGAGAGUCGAUCGAUCCGCUUGGUUUCCACCGGAAAGGAGGGAGUCAUCUUCAACGGGCUGAGCGAUUGGUUAUACGAAGAGGAGAUCUUCCAGAACCACAUUGCGCACUGGUGGUCUCCGGAUGGGGCCCGGCUGGCAUAUGCCACCAUCAACGACACCAUGGUGCCCAAGAUGGAGAUCCCCUUGUUCACAGGGACUAGUUAUCCUACUGGAAGGGAGUACCACUACCCCAAGGCUGGGGAGGAGAACCCUGUCAUCUCCCUGUAUGUAGUCAACCUGAACGGGCCCCUGCACACCAUUGAGAUGCGGAGACCUGAGGACCAGAGGAUAGGAGAGUUCUAUGUCACCAUGGUGAAAUGGGCGACUACCACCAAACUGGCAGUGAACUGGUUAAACAGAGCCCAGAACAUCUCCAUGCUCACGCUGUGUGAAGCCACCACCGGGGUCUGCUCCAAAAAACACGAGGACGAGAGUGAGGGUUGGCUGCACAGACAGAACGAAGAGCCGCUGUUCUCAAAAGACGGUCUGAAGUUGUUCUUCACCCGGGCCAUACCACAGGGAGGCAGGGGCAAGUUCUUCCAUAUCUCCAUGUCCAUCACUCAGGCAAACACCAGUACAGACACACUGCAGUCGAUCACGUCUGGGGACUGGGAUGUCACCCAGGUCUUAGCCUACAACGAGGACAGCCAGCUAAUAUAUUUCUUGAGCACUGAGGAUGAUCCGAAGCGAAGGCACCUCUACAGCGCGGACACGGUCGGGCCCUUCAACAGACGCUGUCUCUCCUGUGACUUCUACGAAGGCUGCGGUUACGUCGGCGGCUCCUUCAGCCACAACAUGAGUCUCUUUCUCCUCAGCUGUAAAGGGCCAGGAGUUCCGUUUGAAGCAGUGUACAACACACAGGACCGACUGAAGGUUUUCGACCUGGAGACCAACGAGGACCUGAGGACGAGGCUGGACUCCAUACAGAUGCCCAGAGAGGAAUACAAGGAGAUCACCAUUGAGGAUUACACAUUAACGAUGCAGAUCCUCAAACCUGCCAGCUUUGUCGACUCAUCACACUAUCCCCUGCUCCUCCUCGUUGACAGCACCCCCGGUGGUCAGUCGGUGUCCGAGCAGUUCCACAUAGAUUGGGCCACAGUGCUGGUGAGCAGUUUCGGGGCCAUAGUGGUGCGUUUCGACGGGCGGGGAAGUGGCUUCCAGGGGACGAACCUCCUGCAUCGUGUGCAGAGGAAGUUGGGCGUGUUCGAGGAGCGAGACCAACUGGCAGCCCUCAGUAUUCUAUCAAAAGAGCCUUACAUUGACAAGACCAGAAUUGGAGCUUAUGGCAAGGUGUACGGAGGCUACGUGACCAGUUUGCUACUCAGCGCUGAGGAUUCCCUGGUGAAAUGUGGUGCAGUCCUCUCACCCAUCACAGAGUUCGAUCUCUACGCUUCAGCGUUUUCAGAGAGAUACCUGGGAAUGCCCAAGCCUGACCCAAGAGCAUAUGCGAUGGCAAAUCUAGCACACAGGGCGUCUCAAUUCCUAGAUAAGAAGUUUCUGAUUGUUCAUCCGACAGCAGAUGAAAAAGUUCAUUUCCAGCACACAGCAAAGUUCAUCGCCCAGCUGAUCAAUGAAAAGGCAAACUACACUCUCCAGAUCUACCCAGACGAGGGCCAUUUCAUCCAUAGUGAGGCCACGCGGCAGCACCUCAGUCAAUCGUUGGUCAACUUCUUUGAGGAGUGCUUCCGGCUACCGGACAAGGUGUUCGAGGAGAGGCUGGAGGAGGAGAUCGAGGAGGAGGGUUAGCAAACUCUGUCAGCCCUUAACCAGAGGUCCAGUCCACACUGAAGCACAAUGCCAGCCCCCAUACCCGGUUUCCACAGUCCACAUGAUAUGCAGCCUACUUCUGGUUCAAACCCUCUUUGGCCCUUUUUCUUGUUUUCACCGUGCGGAAUUCCCGGCGUUUCAGCAUGAUCCACCUCGAGCCUACCGUGUUAACCUUCGUCCUCCUCUUCCUCCGCAACUUUCACUGCAAGGGUAUCGGCAGCCAUUUUGCUGAUAUCGGUACAAUGAACACAACAUUACCGUGAAGGGCAAUGGAGGGGACCACUAGCUGACAACAUAUCUGGAGAGCGUUGAAAAAAGCGGUUGGCUCAGGAAUAGGUCAUCUCUGGUCAGUUUACGUUUAAAAAGACAAGCUCCUCGGAUUCCCAAACGUCUGGUCGGUGGGAGGGAACGUAAAAAGUUUACUAGUCAGUGAGGAGAGGGAGACUUUAUAGCACAAACUUUGGGGUCCGAUGUAGGCUCCUUACUGGAUCUGACGGGUCAGACUUGAUCCUGCACAGUGUCCGGGGGUGGGGGUGGGGGGGUCUCUGUGGAGAAGAGAAUGUACCUAUUUUUUAAAUUGUGAAAAGACCUUUUCAUGUCAGACUGUGCUUGUGUUUGUUGUUCCCGCUGUAAAGUAAAAAAACAAACAAAACAAAAAAAUUGUCACUCCAGGGGGGCUCAGACACUUUGUUUUUUAGUGUUGAAGUUUGUCCUGAUCUUUGGAACCUAUUGUAGCCUCAAGUAUGUAUUUAAAUGGCGUAGACUCCAUUUUUCAUUGUCAUGAAAAGAUGGGCCUGAUGAAUGAUGUGAACAGAAUAGUUAUGUUCUUGGUUCACUUUCAGUCUCGGUUUUGUUGCUUAUUGUUCUUCCUGUCUUUUGCUUACUGUAUGAUACUCCCUCAGUCCUUUGAAAACUGAAGCAUAUGUAUAUUUCUGUCACUGUGCCUUACUUUUGGGAGAAAGAGUCCUUUUUAUGAACUCCUGUUAUGAAAACAAAACGGCUCAUUGUGAAGACAUUUUCUGUUGACAACGGCUUGGUAUACUGACAGUUCAACCGUCACUCAGAGCACUGUAAUGUUUUCAAAGAGCGAGUAGUACAGCAUUCUAUCAACAGUCAAGUAAGAAAUGGUCUUCUCCAGGUCAAGACAUAACCAAUUGCCAAAACGGUUGUAAACAGUAGCCAAAUGUGUCAUUAUUGCAUUAUUUUACAGAUGUUCAUAAAUAGCAAUUCAAUGGUGUCAGGUCACAAAUUUCAUUUUUAUGUAAGGUUGGAAUGCUAAGCAAAAGGCAUUCAGCCUCCCGAUUCGUGCAGGGCUAAUAAACCCUGGGUUCAUUCCUAGAGUCCCACCCUGUCGUAAAGGUCACUCUAAUGGGCCCGUGCACGACUGGUCUUGCAUUGUGCUCAAAAUGCACUUGUUUGAAAUGAGGGUCCUUCUCAACUCGCGGCGCCAUCAAGCAUAUGACGUUUACAGGGGUGGAUCUAAAAAUAAAUGUGAAAAGUAAUAAAAAAACAAUAAAGGCAGUUGUGCAAGUCAUUUUAUAGAUAGAAACAAUAUGCUAUUUAUUGUUUUAAAUGUGUGCAUGCUUUUUUCAGAAAAACCAAAGGGUGUGUGGCAGAUUUCAAAACUCUUCCACCGCAGGACACACAAGUAUCCUUUGUGAAAGUCAAGGAGGGGAGAGCAACUUGCCUACUAAUUAAUUUACAUCACCACUUAUCGGUCUCCAUGUCAUGUGGGAGAUCCCUUGUUUCAUCAUGCUGUAGUGCUAAUUGUGGCGGUCAGGGUUCUGUUAGCUGAGUGAGGCUACGUCUACAGCACUUUUCACCGUGUUGGUUAGGCAGACUUCCUGGUUAAGUGAGCAGUGAGAUCAGCAAUACAGCUUAGUGGGCAUGUAAUGGCGAGAAGAUGACCUGAUCUACAAAAUUGGAUAAGGUGAAAUUGGGUAAACAAAUUUUACAAAAACAUGGGUUCUUAAGUUUAGGCACAAGUUUGUAUUUUUUCUGAAUGCUCAUUCCUGUUAGUUUGUCAGUGCAUGUAACCAAGUUAUUAGCAACUCAAUACUAUCUUUGAUGGGUCAGUUUCAAAAUAGUAUUUUUGACAUUUUGAAUGUUCCGUACUGGAUUGCAUUACAUUUACAGUAGUAUCGUGAUUGAGAUCCCAGUCUCGUCAGCUUGAUGUAUAAAUGUUACUCAAAUAUCAUUUUAGUCUCUUAAAAUCUGAGUGUUAUUUGUGCAUAAAUGCAUUUUGAAUAUACAUUUUUGGUCUCCAGUUUUGGUCCUUGGGUUGAGUUUAAAGUGGACUGCAAUCAUCAGCAGCAAUGGUGAACUUUCUGAAAAGGUGCGAUUGAAAAUGAAGAUGGACUUUUGUCAAGAAGCUCUCAACUCAACGGUACAGGAAACUACUGUGGCAAAUAACCAGAAUGUGGCAUGGGGGUAAUUGUUAGAAUAAAAACUAUUUUAUCAUCAUA